Molecule: long non-coding RNA, 393 nt
Filed under: Rattus norvegicus (Norway rat)
Lineage: Eukaryota; Metazoa; Chordata; Mammalia; Rodentia; Muridae
Description: long non-coding RNA NONRATT003173
Source: RNAcentral
CCUAAAGCAACGUUUUUGCAGUCCUGGCUACCCAGCCCUUUCCGAGGUCCGAGGACCCAGAAACCACCCCUAACUCUGGACCUUCAACCCAGAAAGUCCGGAUGGGACAUGCAGCAAGACCGGGGCGCUUCUUCGGAGUCUACCUGCUCUACUGUCAGAACCCUCGGCAUCGGGGCCGUGUUUACGUGGGAUUCACUGUCAAUCCUGCUCGUCGGGUCCGGCAACACAACGCGGGUCGCAAAAAAGGUGGCGCCUGGCGGACCAGCGGGCGAGGACCCUGGGCCGUGCUGAGUUCCUGGCCUGUCACUAGGGCAAGCGUAUAGCGGGGAGGUGGCACCUUGUGGAUAUCAACACUGCGACGACUGGAUUAAAACUUGUGAUGCUUAAUUGGGU